RNAcentral lists this long non-coding RNA (230 nucleotides) under Ananas comosus (pineapple). RNAcentral's name for it is "long non-coding RNA (ACOM_LNC023664)". Lineage: Eukaryota; Viridiplantae; Streptophyta; Magnoliopsida; Poales; Bromeliaceae. The record is from RNAcentral.
AUACUAGUAGCAUAAAUUUAGAGAAAAAAGCUUAGUUUACUAGCCAAAUUUUUUAUCUUGAAUUUUUAAUUAGUGAACGCAUAAUUUUCGUAUAAAUCGCGUAUCCGAAUAAUUAGCAAACCCGUUUUUUAAGACGUAUUUUUCAACAAAUUUAAAAAUUGAGAUACGAAUUUUAUGUGAAUUAUACCCCUACUGAAUUUUUGCCGAAUUUGAAUUAAUUAACUAUAAUA